This 713-nucleotide long non-coding RNA is filed under the name Homo sapiens (human). RNAcentral's name for it is "HSALNT0155190". Lineage: Eukaryota; Metazoa; Chordata; Mammalia; Primates; Hominidae. The record is from RNAcentral.
GGAAAAGCAGUUUGCAGGAGAGGGGCAAGCACACAGGACUGCCCAGCACACUUGCCCACGAUGCACACUGCAGGGGCUGAGAACGUGUUGGGAAAAGCAAAGAAAUACUUGGCAGUGUCCCCAGGACUCUGGGGAUAUGAUUAACUGUUGAUCAGAGUUUCAUGGACUGAACACACAUACGCUUCCAGGGAACACACUGAACACACAUACGCUUCCAGUGUGACCUGCUCCGUGAGUGUGGCUUCAAAUUGUCUCCACCACAGGCCAACAAAUUUAGGACAAGCCUCCCUCCCCAUGCUGCAGUGGAGGAAACGGAAGCUUUAGGAAGAGAAGUGCCUUCUACAAGCUCCACGGCUGGAAAAUGGGCAAAGUCAGGACUCAAACCCUGGUGACUCCAGGGCCCCAGGCCUGGGAAAAAGGAACCCACUCAGCACAAGAAGGCAGCUUCUACUUCCGGUGAUUUCAUCGCUGACCAAUCAGCACUCCCGGCUCACUGGCUUCCCCCCACCCACCAAGUUGUCCUUAAAAACCCUGCUCCCCAAAUGCUCAGGGAGGCUAAUUUAAGUAGUAAUAAAAAUCCAAUCUCCUGCACAGCCGGCUGUGCGUGAAUUACUCUCUAUUGCAAUUCCCCUGUCUUGCUAAAUCUGCUCUGUCUAGGCAGCAGGCAAGGUGAGCCCCUUGGGGGGUUACGGUAGCUGUUUUCCUCUCUGGUA